CCUACGGGUGGCAGCAGUAGGGAAUCUUCCACAAUGGGCGCAAGCCUGAUGGAGCAACACCGCGUGAGUGAAGAAGGGUUUCGGCUCGUAAAGUUCUGUUGUUGGAGAAGAACGUGCGUGAGAUAAUCUGUUUACGCAGUGACGGUAUCCAACCAGAAAGUCACGGCUAACUACGUGCCAGCAGCCGCGGUAAUACGUAGGUGGCAAGCGUUAUCCGGAUUUAUUGGGCGUAAAGCGAGCGCAGGCGGUCGCUUAAGUCUGAUGUGAAAGCCUUGGGCUUAACCGAAGAAGUGCAUCGGAUACCGGGCGACUAGAGUCCUGAAGAGGGCAGUAGAACUCCAUGUGUAGCGGUGGAAUGCGUAGAUAUAUGGAGGAACACCAGUGGCGAAGGCGGCUGUCUGGUC
RNAcentral lists this ribosomal RNA (404 nucleotides) under uncultured bacterium. RNAcentral describes it as "partial 16S ribosomal RNA". It matches the Rfam family "Bacterial small subunit ribosomal RNA", at positions 338 to 734 of the family's 1533-position model. The record is from RNAcentral.